CUUUUCUGGGAACAAUGGUUUGUGUGCCGUUUUGUUCACGUGUUGUUUUGCAUAUCUUUGGUGUCGAGCUUUCGCCUGGUUUGCACGUGCUUGAUUUGCAUUUGUUUGCUUUUAGUUGACUGGGUAUUUUGUCGAUAAGCACACAGGGAGGCAGCAUAGACUCCAGUUUGACGGAGGAAGACAAUUUCUGAGGUUCAGCUGUGCAGCAAGUAACGGCGGGGCGAUGGAACCAGAAGCUCCGGCAGACCUUGGGCAGACCAUCUCCACGUAGCGAAAGGACGGACGAGUCCCACAUAGUGGGGGGAAAACUUCAGGAUGGCUGAGAUAUGGCAGCUCAGCCCGGAUUCCAGCUCUCCCAGGCCGAGGAAGGCGACUACCACAGCGCGACUGAGAUGCAGCAAGCUCUGACAGACUUUUGGCGGCCUCUUCACAUAUUGAAAGGGCGGAAGAGUCCUACCUGGCGGGUCGAAACGUCAGAUGUUAAAGAUACGGCAGGUUUGGGGCGAAAAUGCGGUAACAAACGUUUGUGUUUUUUGUCCAAUUAUGUUUUCAUGGGAACAAUGGUUUGGGGUGGCUAAUGUGUACACGUGUUGUUUUGCAUAUCUUUGGUGUCGGGCUUUCGCUCGGUUCGCUCGUGCUUGAUUUUCAUUUGCUUUGUCUUUAGUUGAUACUUGUGUUCUAAACGUGUUGUUUUCUUAGCAGAUCAGCCCGGUUUCCAGCUCUCCUGUGCCGAGGAAGGUGACUACCACAUCGCGACCGAGGUGCAGCAAGCUCCGACAGAGCGUUGGAGCCAGCAAGCCGAGCAUUCCCAACACAUACUGCAGUUCUUCGCGGCAUCGGCACUAGACGACAGCCGUCACGGAGCGCACGGCUUUGGUUAUUUCAGGGAGGCGUGCACGUUUUUGGUGACAUCGAUUUGAGGCGGGAUUCCCCUCAGAUAUUUUGUCUUUAUGUCUGUUGUUGCUGUUUUGAAGUGUUUUGUCUCCCUCUAAUUAGGGAUAUUUUCUUUUACCGUUGUUGUUUGUAAAGUUUUGCUUGUGUUGACACAGUGACGGCGACACAGACCUGGACUAUUAA
Long non-coding RNA from Branchiostoma floridae (Florida lancelet), 1077 nucleotides. RefSeq lists it as uncharacterized. Lineage: Eukaryota; Metazoa; Chordata; Leptocardii; Amphioxiformes; Branchiostomatidae. The transcript has 2 exons. The record is from RefSeq and is a predicted model, not a curated record.